RNAcentral lists this long non-coding RNA (234 nucleotides) under Elaeis guineensis (African oil palm). RNAcentral describes it as "long non-coding RNA (EGUI_LNC037853)". Lineage: Eukaryota; Viridiplantae; Streptophyta; Magnoliopsida; Arecales; Arecaceae. The record is from RNAcentral.
GCCAUAUAGUAUAUAUUGGUAAAAUUGGAAUAAGUAGAGCAGCAGAAGCCUACAUGUCCAAAAAUCCGAAUUGAGGUGCUUGACUUAUGAACUUUCCUUGAUCGUUCUUUCCUUUUAUCCUUCUAGAUCCUUCUAUGAGCCUUGUCUCCUCUCACGCGUUGCGUUUCUGAUGUGAAGAGGGCUACUAGAGUCCUCUUCAAUGUCCACAAAUCCAAGACUUGGGAACAACGGUGG